RNAcentral lists this ribosomal RNA (253 nucleotides) under uncultured bacterium. RNAcentral describes it as "partial 16S ribosomal RNA". It matches the Rfam family "Bacterial small subunit ribosomal RNA", at positions 524 to 776 of the family's 1533-position model. The record is from RNAcentral.
UACGUAGGGUGCGAGCGUUAAUCGGAAUUACUGGGCGUAAAGCGUGCGCAGGCGGUUUUGUAAGCCAGGUGUGAAAUCCCCGGGCUCAACCUGGGAAUGGCAUUUGGGACUGCAAGGCUGGAGUGCGGCAGAGGAGACUGGAAUUCCUGGUGUAGCAGUGAAAUGCGUAGAUAUCAGGAGGAACACCAAUGGCGAAGGCAGGUCUCUGGGCUGACACUGACGCUCAUGCACGAAAGCGUGGGGAGCAAACAGG